ACGUACACUCCUACGGGAGGCAGCAGUGGGGAAUAUUGCACAAUGGGCGCAAGCCUGAUGCAGCCAUGCCGCGUGUAUGAAGAAGGCCUUCGGGUUGUAAAGUACUUUCAGCGGGGAGGAAGGCAAUACGGUUAAUAACCGUGUUGAUUGACGUUACCCGCAGAAGAAGCACCGGCUAACUCCGUGCCAGCAGCCGCGGUAAUACGGAGGGUGCAAGCGUUAAUCGGAAUUACUGGGCGUAAAGCGCACGCAGGCGGUCUGUCAAGUCGGAUGUGAAAUCCCCGGGCUCAACCUGGGAACUGCAUUCGAAACUGGCAGGCUUGAGUCUUGUAGAGGGGGGUAGAAUUCCAGGUGUAGCGGUGAAAUGCGUAGAGAUCUGGAGGAAUACCGGUGGCGAAGGCGGCCCCCUGGACAAAGACUGACGCUCAGGUGCGAAAGCGUGGGGAGCAAACAGGAUUAGAUACCCGAGUAGUCCCAUG
RNAcentral lists this ribosomal RNA (479 nucleotides) under uncultured organism. RNAcentral's name for it is "partial 16S ribosomal RNA". It matches the Rfam family "Bacterial small subunit ribosomal RNA", at positions 329 to 799 of the family's 1533-position model. The record is from RNAcentral.